GGAUGGUUCAAUGGUAGUGGGUUAUCCGAAAAGCUAUUAAUGUUAGUGCCACUAAAGUUGGUAAACAACCCUUCCCCCUGCUGAAUUUGACUGGAAA
RNAcentral lists this non-coding RNA (97 nucleotides) under Erinaceus europaeus (western European hedgehog). The record is from RNAcentral. Lineage: Eukaryota; Metazoa; Chordata; Mammalia; Eulipotyphla; Erinaceidae.